GAUACACCUGUUCCCAUUCCGAACACAGAAGUUAAGCUCUUUAGCGCUGAUGGUACUUGGUGGGAAACUGCCUGGGAGAGUAGGACGUAGCCACGUU
Molecule: ribosomal RNA, 97 nt
Filed under: Clostridioides difficile CD211
Lineage: Bacteria; Bacillati; Bacillota; Clostridia; Peptostreptococcales; Peptostreptococcaceae
Source: RNAcentral